Molecule: transfer RNA, 73 nt
Filed under: Crassvirales sp.
Lineage: Duplodnaviria; Heunggongvirae; Uroviricota; Caudoviricetes; Crassvirales
Description: tRNA-Lys
Rfam family: tRNA
About the family: Transfer RNA (tRNA) molecules are approximately 80 nucleotides in length. Their secondary structure includes four short double-helical elements and three loops (D, anti-codon, and T loops). Further hydrogen bonds mediate the characteristic L-shaped molecular structure. tRNAs have two regions of fundamental functional importance: the anti-codon, which is responsible for specific mRNA codon recognition, and the 3' end, to which the tRNAs corresponding amino acid is attached (by aminoacyl-tRNA synthetases). tRNAs cope with the degeneracy of the genetic code in two manners: having more than one tRNA (with a specific anti-codon) for a particular amino acid; and 'wobble' base-pairing, i.e. permitting non-standard base-pairing at the 3rd anti-codon position.
Source: RNAcentral
UCCCCCAAAGCAUUGAUGGUGGAUGCUCUGGACUUUUAAUCCUGAGAGCUAGGUUCGACUCCUAGUGGGGGAA